Molecule: small nuclear RNA, 107 nt
Organism: Loxodonta africana (African savanna elephant)
Lineage: Eukaryota; Metazoa; Chordata; Mammalia; Proboscidea; Elephantidae
Source: Ensembl
GUGCUUGUUUCAGCAGCAUAUAUACUAAAAUUGGAAUGAUAUAGAGAAGAUUAGCAUGGCUCCUAAACAAGGAUGACACAGAAAUUUGUGAAGGAUUCCAUAUUUGU